Molecule: ribosomal RNA, 549 nt
Filed under: uncultured bacterium
Lineage: Bacteria
Description: bacterial SSU rRNA
Rfam family: Bacterial small subunit ribosomal RNA
Source: RNAcentral
UCGAGGAUAUUUAGCAAUGGACGAAAGUCUGACUAUGCGACGCCGCGUGAGGGAUGAAGGAUUUCGGUUCGUAAACCUCUUUUGGCAGGGAAGAACAUUCUAUAUUUAAUAGGUAUAGAACUGACGGUACCUGCAGAAUCAGCCACGGCUAACUCCGUGCCAGCAGCCGCGGUGAUACAGAGGUGGCAAGCGUUGUUCGGAAUUACUGGGCGUAAAGGGCGCGUAGGCGGCCUUGUAAGUCUCGUGUGAAAGCCCUCGGCUUAACUGAGGAUCUGCACGGGAUACUGCGAGGCUUGAGUUCGGGAGAGGAAAGCGGAAUUCCGGGUGUAGCGGUGAAAUGCGUAGAUAUCCGGAGGAACACCAGUGGCGAAGGCGGCUUUCUGGACCGACACUGACGCUGAGGCGCGAAAGCUAGGGGAGCAAACGGGAUUAGAUACCCCGGUAGUCCUAGCUGUAAACGAUGAUCGCUGGGUGUGGGGGGUUCUUACUCCCUCCGUGCCGAAGCUAACGCAUUAAGCGAUCCGCCUGGGGAGUACGGUCGCAAGGCUG